This 433-nucleotide ribosomal RNA is filed under the name uncultured bacterium. RNAcentral's name for it is "partial 16S ribosomal RNA". It matches the Rfam family "Bacterial small subunit ribosomal RNA", at positions 29 to 507 of the family's 1533-position model. The record is from RNAcentral.
AACGAACGCUGGCGGCAUGCCUAACACAUGCAAGUCGAACGAGACCUUCGGGUCUAGUGGCGCACGGGUGCGUAACGCGUGGGAACCUGCCCUUAGGUUCGGAAUAACUCCCCGAAAGGGGUGCUAAUACCGGAUAAUGUCUUCGGACCAAAGAUUUAUCGCCUUUGGAUGGGCCCGCGUUGGAUUAGCUAGUUGGUAGGGUAAAAGCCUACCAAGGCGACGAUCCAUAGCUGGUCUGAGAGGAUGAUCAGCCACACUGGGACUGAGACACGGCCCAGACUCCUACGGGAGGCAGCAGCGGGGAAUAUUGGAAAAUGGGCGAAAGCCUGAUCCAGCAAUGCCGCGUGAGUGAUGAAGGCCUUAGGGUUGUAAAGCUCUUUUACCCGGGAUGAUAAUGACAGUACCGGGAGAAUAAGCUCCGGCUAACUCCGUG